Molecule: ribosomal RNA, 450 nt
Filed under: bacterium CPTAC79
Lineage: Bacteria
Description: bacterial SSU rRNA
Rfam family: Bacterial small subunit ribosomal RNA
Source: RNAcentral
UUUUGAACGGGAAGAACCUUACCAAGGCUUGACAUACACCGGAAACCUGUGGAGACACGGUCCCCUUUGUGGUCGGUGUACAGGUGGUGCAUGGGUGUCGUCAGCUCGUGUCGUGAGAUGUUGGGUUAAGUCCCGCAACGAGCGCAACCCUUGUUCUGUGUUGCCAGCAUGCCUUUCGGGGUGAUGGGGACUCACAGGAGACUGCCGGGGUCAACUCGGAGGAAGGUGGGGACGACGUCAAGUCAUCAUGUCCCUUAUGUCUUGGGCUGCACACGUGCUACAAUGGCCGGUACAAUGAGCUGCGAUACCGCGAGGUGGAGCGAAUCUCAAAAAGCCGGUCUCAGUUCGGAUUGGGGUCUGCAACUCGACCCCAUGAAGUCGGAGUUGCUAGUAAUCGCAGAUCAGCAUUGCUGCGGUGAAUACCUUUCCCGGUCUUGUACACACGCACAA